UACAAGAAACCAAAAGAAAACACCACACGGCUUCUUCUUCCUCUUUCGUAUUCUUCCUCUCUCACAGCACUCGUUGGAAAACAAAUCAGCCGCCGCGUCGGGAAUCACUCCAUGGUGCCGGCGGCGGCGAUCUAUGUUCGACCACCCAAAAUUGGACACCUUCCCUACUAAUUACUAUCUUCUAAACCCAAAUAUGGCAUUGGAUUCUCCUAAUUUCAAGCCUAAACCCUUCAAAUCAGACUAAACUUUGAACCCUAAAUUUCAACAAAAUCCUAAAUCGGACACUAUUCUUGAAGCUAAUUACCAAAUCAUAUUGGAUCUACGAUUAUACAUACAGUUACACACUACAUGGCAUGAAAAAAAAACGUGAAGAGAAUGAUUCGAAGUACCUGGUUCGACGGCGCCGGCGAGCCCCUUCGAUUCAAAUUCAACUUGGAGUACACAAUGUAAGAACGCUGCUUUGAAGGCUUUGGAACUUGGAACUUCUUAAAUUCAAAGGAUGCGACGAGCUCGGGAAUUCAGAAGGUUGAUGUUCAUAGGACGUCCGUCCAUAUGAGCGUGAGGUCUCUGGUGAAUCAAUUGAAUCCGCAGUCAAUUACAUUUCUUGCAAGCUCCACUGUGACAGGUCUUUUUAGAAGUCUUAUCAAGCCACUCCCAAGAUAGUACGAAGAAGGUCGAAUUUAUGGGCGUGAUCACUCAAGUUUCAUGAAGCCUCAAAGUGCAAAGCUCCAGGCCUUAUAACUGAUGCCGAAUGAAUCUAUCUAUACUGCUUCACAAUUCAAAUAUUUUGCAACUUUAAAUUCUCUUCCUAAUUGCGUCUUUCUUUUUUCACAUGACAGAACCUUCAGAACUCAUUUCUCUGUACUGAGUUUGAGACUUGUGUUUACAAGUUGAAAUUAUAAGCUUCUAAGUACAGCUUCUAUGAAACUUUAAACGGAAUUCUUUUUCUGCUGCUCCCAAAUGCUUUUGAAUCUCAACAAUUUGUGUUGACUAGCUUUAUAUGGAAUGGUGAUAAAACCAUGUGAUAUAUUGUAGAAUCCAUGUAACUUUGUAAUAAUAACAAAAAGUGUGAAAUCAAAUUUAAUUAAAAGUUUCAAUCUCCA
Molecule: long non-coding RNA, 1103 nt
Organism: Vicia villosa (hairy vetch)
Lineage: Eukaryota; Viridiplantae; Streptophyta; Magnoliopsida; Fabales; Fabaceae
Exons: 3
Source: RefSeq, a predicted model, not a curated record